AUGAUCAUUUUACAGAUGAAGAAGAUGAGACUCAGAGCAAUACAUAAGUUGCCCAAGGUCAGAGAGCAAGUAAGUACCAGAAAUAAAAGCCACAUCUCUUGCAGUAUUCAGAAUAUUUCUCUACGGGCAGCAACAUUUUUCUCUCCUUAUCUGGAUAUUAGGAAGAAUAUCACAGGACCGGCUUACAGCGCCAGUCACAUCGUGAGCAAUGUCAUCUGUAAUCCCCUAGUUAUUAAGAACAGUGUAACGGGGGUCUUGUGUGCUUUUGGAGAUAUUUGGAGUAAUAUCCUUUUAGUUUCUGGAUAUUAGAAACAAUACUACAGUGGUGGUGUACACUUCCUGCGAUAUUAAGAGUAUACUCAUCCUCUGUCCCUGGGAUAUUAGGAACUACAUCGCAGAAGCCUUGCACUUUGCCUAUAAUAUUGGAACAAUCACAGAGUGUACACCUUCUUUCAUUGUGAGAGAAAUACCUACUUAGGAUAUGAUGGAUAAUAUCACAAAAUGGACACACAUGGCUAUAUACCCACUGUGAUAUUGGAAGUCAUUUUUAUCUAAUAUACUAAAUGUCAUAACCCAGAAAAAACUCAUAAUGUGUACACUUAUUGGGAUAUUACACUCAAUGUACAGAAUAUUUAACAUAUGUACAUUGACUGUGAUGUACAUACAUGUACACAAUACAGAUGUACAAUAAAUGUACAUAAACUAUCAUUUGUACGAAUAUAUGUACAAAAUGUGCACACAAUAGGUAUGCACAUAAUGUGUACAAUAUGUACAUUUAUUGUAAUAUCACAAUGUUAUAUAAUCACAACUGCAUAUAAAAUCACAAUACACAUGUAAUAUGUAAUAUCAAUAUAAAUGUACAUAUUGCAAACAUGUACAUUUACAUUUAUUGUGAUAUGAUAUGUAAACAUGUACAUCAUGUACCCAUUAUGUACAGAUGCACAAUAUAUGCAAGCGUACAUAUGUGGGUACAGUAUGUACAUAUGUACACUACACAUGUGUACAUAUAAUGUAGAUAUGUACCUUCUGUACCCGAGUACAUUCUAUGCACAAUAUGUACGCAUAUAAACUAUGUACACACCUGGGUGUACAACCACUUUGGUAACCGGAGAAAUUUCUAUCUAAUAUACAAAAUAUAAUAAUUCAGAAUGUAGUAAUAGUGUGUACAUUUAUUGGCAUAUUGCAAUAAAUGUAUAAAAUAGGUACAAUCUGUACAUUUACCCUGCUGUACAUAUGUGUACACAAUGCACAUGUACAAAAAAUGUACAUACUCUGUAAAAUAUGUACCUACAUAUUUCUAUAAUGUGUAAACAAUGUAUAGGUACAUAAUGUGUACACUAUGCACAUUCCUUAAAAUAUCAGUGAUAAAAUAUAUAUAAUCAAAAUAACGCAUAUAAUCACAGUAAUAUAUAUAUAUCAUGUAAUAUCACAAAAAAGUACAUAUUGUUCACAGUAGGUACGCAUUAGGUCU
This 1471-nucleotide long non-coding RNA is filed under the name Callithrix jacchus (white-tufted-ear marmoset). RNAcentral's name for it is "lncRNA (ENSCJAG00000071842.1)". Lineage: Eukaryota; Metazoa; Chordata; Mammalia; Primates; Cebidae. The record is from RNAcentral.